Molecule: ribosomal RNA, 298 nt
Filed under: uncultured bacterium
Lineage: Bacteria
Description: partial 16S ribosomal RNA
Rfam family: Bacterial small subunit ribosomal RNA
Source: RNAcentral
UGCAAGUCGAACGGCACCCCUCUCCGGAGGGAAGCGAGUGGCGAACGGCUGAGUAACACGUGGAGAACCUGCCCCCCUCCCCCCGGGAUAGCCGCCCGAAAGGACGGGUAAUACCGGAUACCCCCGGGCGCCGCAUGGCGCCCGGGCUAAAGCCCCGACGGGAGGGGAUGGCUCCGCGGCCCAUCAGGUAGACGGCGGGGUGACGGCCCACCGUGCCGACAACGGGUAGCCGGGUUGAGAGACCGACCGGCCAGGUUGGGACUGAGACACGGCCCAGACUCCUACGGGAGGCAGCAUG